CACGCCGUAAACUAUGAUCACUCGAUGUUGGCGAUAUACAGCCAGCGUCUAAGCUAAAGCAUUAAGUGAUCCACCUGGGGAGUACGGUCGCAAGAUUGAAACUCAAAGGAAUUGACGGGGGCCCGCACAAGCGGAGGAGCAUGUGGUUUAAUUCGAUGAUACGCGAGGAACCUUACCAGGGCUUGAAAGUUAGUGACCGCCGCCGAAAGGUGGCUUUCAGCAAUGACACGAAACUAGGUGC
This 241-nucleotide ribosomal RNA is filed under the name uncultured bacterium. RNAcentral's name for it is "partial 16S ribosomal RNA". It matches the Rfam family "Bacterial small subunit ribosomal RNA", at positions 796 to 1041 of the family's 1533-position model. The record is from RNAcentral.